ACUCAAAUGAAUAGACGGGGGCCCGCACAAGCGGUGGAGCAUGUGGUUCAAUUCGAAGCAACGCGAAGAACCUUACCAGCUUUUGACAUGGCAGGACGGUUUCCAGAAAUGGAUUCUUCCCCGCAAGGGGCCUGCACACAGGUGCUGCAUGGCUGUCGUCAGCUCGUGUCGUGAGAUGUUGGGUUAAGUCCCGCAACGAGCGCAACCCUCGCCCUUAGUUGCCAUCAUUCAGUUGGGCACUCUAAGGGGACUGCCGGUGAUAAGCCGCGAGGAAGGUGGGGAUGACGUCAAGUCCUCAUGGCCCUUACAGGCUGGGCUACACACGUGCUACAAUGGCGGUGACAGUGGGAUGCAAUGGAGCAAUCCUGCGCAAAUCUCAAAAAGCCGUCUCAGUUCGGAUUGUGCUCUGCAACUCGAGCACAUGAAGUUGGAAUCGCUAGUAAUCGCAGAUCAGCACGCUGCGGUGAAUACGUUCCCGGGCCUUGUACACACCGCCCGU
This 499-nucleotide ribosomal RNA is filed under the name uncultured bacterium. RNAcentral's name for it is "partial 16S ribosomal RNA". It matches the Rfam family "Bacterial small subunit ribosomal RNA", at positions 899 to 1397 of the family's 1533-position model. The record is from RNAcentral.